UAAUCGUAUCCUGCAACUUCUGGUUGGUC
This 29-nucleotide non-coding RNA is filed under the name Bombyx mori (domestic silkworm). The record is from RNAcentral. Lineage: Eukaryota; Metazoa; Arthropoda; Insecta; Lepidoptera; Bombycidae.